GUCACGAGAGAGUACCCUCCCGUUGCUUUUCUUCAGACAAUGAAAUUCUCCGGUUGGAACCUUAUUGCUGAUUAAUGUUUAAAACAUCCUAAAUAUGGAUUGCAUACAUCAUUUGACUUGUUUCUACGACCUGUAAUGGAACUUUUUGAGUUUUUGUCUGGAGGAAUUGCUCGUACUUUAUAAAGAUUGAAUGCUGGGCUGAACAAGCUAACAACAAGUGGCUAAAUGAUGGGCUUUAUGGAACUUUAUAGAACAAAUCUAUUUAUUGUCGAACUGGGAUUCCUGAGACUGCCUUCUGAUGAAGAUAUUCAAAGGAAAGCAGCAGAACCAAUCCCAGGUGAGGAUCCAGAUGCUCUGACCAUCUGCGUAGGAGACUGGGUGAAACUACGAGUCCAUAAAAGAAAAUGGAACCAGCCAAGAUGGAUGGGACCCUUCCAGGUGACCAUGACAACUGAUGAGGAAGGAACAGAGGAGAAACGGGGAAGAGGACAGCCAGAGGGCCCGAGAACAAAGGCAAAGAAGAACCAACAGAGGGUUCAGCCACAGGUCCUGAACAGUCAUCAGAUGUUACCAUCAUACACAUCAUAAACAAGAAAAUCGCACCCAUAGAAACACACAUGCAGGGAAUUUAUUGUUCUCCAAAUCCAACUCGUUCCCUUUGUGGACGGGGAUGUGGAGACCAGUCAAUGUGUGAAAGCAGUGACAUGCAUAGGAUUACAGGGGAAGGGGAACACAUCUGGCACACGGGUAAUGACUUCCCAGAAAUCCACCUCCACAGCCUUUCUGUGGGUAGUAUCAGGUCAUCUAUAAGACUACGCUAGGUAAAGCUCCGCCUUACCUCAGCUCACUGGUCACGAUAACAACACCCACCUGUAGCACGCACUCCAGCAGGUAUAUCUCACUGAUCAUCCCCAAAGACAGCACCUCCUUUGACCGCCUUUCCUUUCCAGUUCUCUGCUGCCAGUGACUGGAACGAAUUGCAAAAAUCACUGAAGCUGGAGUCUUACAUUUCCCUCACUAACUUUAAACACCAGCUAUCUGAGCAGCUAACCGAUCGCUGCAGCUGUACAUAGUCCAUCUGUAAAUAGCCCACCCAAUCUACCUACCUCAUCCCCAUACUGUUUUUAUUUUAUUUUCUGCUCUUUUGCACACCAGUAUCACUACUUGCACAUCAUCUGCUCAUCUAUCACUCCAGUAUUCUGCUAAAUUGUAAUUACUUCGCUACUAUGGACUAUUUAUUGCCUUACCUCCUCACGCCAUUUGCACACACUGUAUAUAUACUUUCUUUUUUUCUAUUGUGUUAUUGACUGUACACUUGUUCAUUCCAUGUGUAACUCUGUGUUGUUGUUUGUGUCGCACUGCUAUGCUUUAUCUUGGCCAGGUCGCAGUUGUAAAUGAGAACUUGUUCUCAACUGGCCUACCUGGCUAAAUAAAGGUGAAAUAAAAUAAUAAAAAACAUACCAAUUGGCAAA
Long non-coding RNA from Oncorhynchus nerka (sockeye salmon), 1472 nucleotides. RefSeq lists it as uncharacterized. The transcript has 2 exons. The record is from RefSeq and is a predicted model, not a curated record. Lineage: Eukaryota; Metazoa; Chordata; Actinopteri; Salmoniformes; Salmonidae.